Molecule: ribosomal RNA, 497 nt
Filed under: uncultured bacterium
Lineage: Bacteria
Description: partial 16S ribosomal RNA
Rfam family: Bacterial small subunit ribosomal RNA
Source: RNAcentral
GAUGAACGCUGGCGGCGUGCCUAAUACAUGCAAGUCGAGCGAACAGAUGAGGAGCUUGCUCCUCUGACGUUAGCGGCGGACGGGUGAGUAACACGUGGAUAACCUACCUAUAAGACUGGGAUAACUUCGGGAAACCGGAGCUAAUACCGGAUAAUAUCUUGAACCGCAUGGUUCAAUAGUGAAAGACGGUUUUGCUGUCACUUAUAGAUGGAUCCGCGCCGCAUUAGCUAGUUGGUAAGGUAACGGCUUACCAAGGCAACGAUGCGUAGCCGACCUGAGAGGGUGGUCGGCCACACUGGAACUGAGACACGGUCCAGACUCCUACGGGAGGCAGCAGUAGGGAAUCUUCCGCAGUGGGCGAAAGCUUGACGGAGCAACGCCGCGUGAGUGAUGAAGGUCUUCGGAUCGUAAAACUCUGUUAUUAGGGAAGAACAAAUGUGUAAGUAACUAUGCACGUCUUGACGGUACCUAAUCAGAAAGCCACGGCUAACUACGUG